This is a long non-coding RNA of Armigeres subalbatus, 329 nucleotides long. RefSeq lists it as uncharacterized. The record is from RefSeq and is a predicted model, not a curated record. The transcript is spliced from 3 exons. Lineage: Eukaryota; Metazoa; Arthropoda; Insecta; Diptera; Culicidae.
GUCAAUUCUGUCGACGGCAGUUUGUUCGGGUAGACUUGAGAUUAUUUUAGUUUUUCUUGAAGUCGGUGGUGAUCCAAAAUGCAUAGUCAUCCAUUUCCUGCCACUACACGGGAAAAUGACGAUUCGCUUCUCCUUGCUGUGCUAGUGGAUUCAGCAAAUCGGGUCCAGCUAAGGGUUCAGCGGAUAUGCUUCCGAAGGUGAAAUUGUUGAGUGGAAUCCACAUGAAAAAGGUCCUGUGAACGCAGGCUAGGCAUCCAGUUUCCCGCGCGAGUUUGGCAGAAUAUAAAAAUUAGAAAAGCUAUAUUGGACAAUAAAUUAAAUUAAAUAGA